UCUUUUGAAGAUAAAAUGAAUCAAGCAUGAUGCAAAUGAAGUUUUUCUUAAUUUUGAGGCAAUGAAUGAUUGCCGCGUUUAUAUGAAAACGUUCGCUAAAUUCCAGAUUGAUCACGAGUCUCUUAUUCGAGGAAAGCUUUUUCAAUAAAAAAAAAUUUGGAAAUCGCGCAGGCUGCCCAAUUCGACACAGUGGUACUAAUACUCAUUAUACGACAAAAAUUGGCUCAUUCGGUUACACAGCUUUGAUAUCCUUAUAGAGGGUGUCGCUGAGUUGAUGGCAAGAUACCGCCGCCCUGUUUUCUCCAAAACUAAUAGAGAAAAACAAACUCUUUAUAAUUGUGAAAAAUAGCAAUAAAAAAAUAGCAUAAGAUAUCCAUUA
Long non-coding RNA from Belonocnema kinseyi, 379 nucleotides. RefSeq lists it as uncharacterized. The transcript is spliced from 2 exons. NCBI's taxonomy places the organism in Eukaryota, Metazoa, Arthropoda, Insecta, Hymenoptera, Cynipidae. The record is from RefSeq and is a predicted model, not a curated record.